RNAcentral lists this transfer RNA (66 nucleotides) under Neilupotamon sinense. RNAcentral describes it as "tRNA-Glu". The record is from RNAcentral. Lineage: Eukaryota; Metazoa; Arthropoda; Malacostraca; Decapoda; Potamidae.
GUUUUUAUAGUGUAUAAAACAUUUUACUUUUUCGUUGUAAAGCUGAAAUAAUAAUUUCUAAAAACA